GGAGUUAUUGUAUAAUUCGACAAAGUAUCGACUUGUUGUAAUUCCUCUCUCAUGUUAUUCGGUGAUGUAGAAAGAAGUGACGUCAAGCAAAGAACUUUUCCUUCGGAUUCCAAAUGUCGACUGCGUCUCAAAUUAUAACGUUUUUCCAUAAAAAUUUGCUUGAAGUUGGAGUAUGUGUCUACGUUGGGAUGAUAAAUUCAGAAACUCGAUGAAAAAUUUAAUUAUCAAGGACGGACACUCUCUUGGAUGGACACACAUACGAGCAUAAGUUGGGAAGAAAUGAGGAAGAAAGAGAGUGAGACAAACAGGGAGAGAGAGAGAGAGAGAAACAUAAACUACUCUACACCUUCUUCCUCUCAAUUCAUUCAUAUUCGAGAGUUUAGAUAGAAAAUACCUAUGGACUUAAAAGAGAAGAGGAAUUCUCUUUAUCUCUUUCACUUUGACUAUGUAUGUUAUAUGUCGUAAUUUACAUGUAUAGUGGAGACUAUAAAGUUAGAAAAAAUUCACGUUCCUGGAAUACAUAGAAUAAUUUUCAGAGUAAAUUUUCUCUUAAAUUGACAAAAAAGAAACGAAAUUGAAAUUGAACUUAAAGAGAUAACGUUUUUUUUUUCUUU
Vespula pensylvanica (western yellowjacket) is the source of this 614-nucleotide long non-coding RNA. RefSeq lists it as uncharacterized. The record is from RefSeq and is a predicted model, not a curated record. NCBI's taxonomy places the organism in Eukaryota, Metazoa, Arthropoda, Insecta, Hymenoptera, Vespidae. The transcript has 3 exons.